Molecule: unclassified non-coding RNA, 3994 nt
Filed under: Hevea brasiliensis (rubber tree)
Lineage: Eukaryota; Viridiplantae; Streptophyta; Magnoliopsida; Malpighiales; Euphorbiaceae
Source: RNAcentral
CUUGUCCUGAGCCAUUUGAUAACCAAAAAUAUGCAAAAUAUAAUGAUCAGAAUUAAGAAAUAAAUACAACAGUUGGUAUUCUAUAUGAGAGUUUCACACACAUUCUUUCUCAACAAGGAAAAAUCUCAUUUUCCUGCUUAUCAAACUGUUCAAUUUGUAUAAUUUCAGAAAACAAAUGCCAAGGGGAAUAUUUUGAAAGAAAAAUUCCUUACAUUUCACAUCUAAUGAUCUAAAUGCUUUCUUUCACAGUUAACAAGGACAACCAUCUAUACCUCAAACCCAUGUAGGAUUUAUGUACAUAAAUUAGAACAUCUCAAGUCCUUAGCCCACUUGUUGGUUAAGGACGCAAGUAUAAUGAGAAUUUUGUUAUCAUAUAUGCAUCACCAAUGCUGCAUUUCACAAGGACAAGGUGGAAAUUAAUCAAGUCACCUUUUUGUUUUCGUGUCUAUGCUUUGAAGCCUUGGUGAUGAUUGUGAUCCACUGCCUAAUGCAGCGGCAGCAGAUUCAACAUGCGUAAGAAGAUAUUCAUAAAUCUUCUUUCUAAGCCUGUCGAUAGUCUCUGAUGAAACAUUGGGUGUUUCUUCUUCAUCCUUGCUUGAACCAAUCUCAUCUAACCAGUCAUUCACACUCUUCAGCUGAGUCAACAUGCCUGCUAUUUGACCAUUAUCUGACAAAGUUGAGGAAUCCACAUCAGCAUCCAAGAACCUCUCCACAAAUCCCAGGAACCAAUCUUGGGACUCCAUCUGCAACAUUUCAGCCAAGUCCACAGCCUCAUCAAGGCCACUUCCUUUGAUCCACUCAGGUGGAGGUUGGGGCGGCAUCUUCUGACUAAUGGCAGAGGUAUCCCCUGCUUUGCGAAAAGCUCCGGUUGCUACUAGCUUGGAGCCAACAGAUGGACGGGUUUUCCCUUGAGUUUUUGCUGAUGCAUUCUUUGAAGAAUUUUCAAGGACUAAUAUGGGUUGAUUACCACUGGAAGUCUUUUGGCCUUGAGUGGAAGCUGAAGUUGUUUCUUUUUUAAAUACAUAAAAGGAUGACAGAUUGGUGGCCAAUGCAGCUUGGACCCAAGUGGCUGCAUGUUUGCGUCUAUCUGAUGUGACCUUUAGCACUUCUUCUGAUGGGUUGUGAUCAGAAUCUGGACAUGAACCAACCGGAAUAAUUUUAGACAGAGAGUCGGCAACCAAGCGAGCAUUGUUCAAGCUUGCAUGGAGGGUCAAGAACUGCUCCACAGCAGGUUGUGGGUUAUCUUCUUUAGCAGAGGAGGUUAGGUCAGAGUAUAUGCUUAGACAUUGAAGUAAGCUCUCUGCAACAGAAGCCUCUUGAAUAGCCUCUAUUGCUGCUGUCUGUGCAGCAUCCCUAAGCUUCAUAACUUCCUUUCCAAGCUUAGCAACAGAAGAGGGUAGUGAACUCCAUGAAAUGCUUCCCUCAGGCAGUUUCCUGCUAUUUAUUGAAAACUUAACCAGGUUUCCUGGAAGUCCAUCAUUAUCUCUUGAUGAUUUUUUUCCAAUAGAUGGUCUUUGCUUAUUUGACUUCUCUUGACCAUCCAAAUUUCCAUUUGCAACAACUUUCUUUGUAGAUACCGGAUUUCUAUUCUCCUCUUUAGAUGAUUUGGCCGAUAGUUGGGUCUUAUUGUCCUCUUUAGAUGUCAAUCUAUUGGUUGACGUGCUUUUUCUAGGAGCCUGCCAAAUAAAUUUGCAUUAGAAGUAGAACCUAGUAGUUUGACUUCAAGAAAAGUUGGGCAACAUCCAACAAAAACUGAACUGGAGAAUCCAGAAAGCCGCAAAAGACAUUCAAGACUUUUAGGAGAAUGAUCAUAACAUGGAGAGAUCACAAUGAUUAAUAUAGAAUAACAACUUAUAGAAUAAAAUCAUGAAUGUCCAAUUAAGAAGAUCGAAAAAUCCAAUGAUUAAUAUAGAAUAAAAUUAGGCUUAACCAAACCAUAGUCCAAAAUUAUGACACAGUUUAUAUGUAAACUGAACAGAUUACUUAGGUGCAUUUCAACCAAAUCACAUUCCACUGAAUGUCAAUGUCAUUAAUGGUUAUACUUACAGAAAUACUCCGACCUUCAGGAUUCGGACUGUGUUUAGAAGCCCUUAAUUUUGAAUUCUCCCUGUGCUUCACCUCCAUAUUCCCUUCCCAACUCUUCCUUAAUGCUUUAGCACCCAUCUCAAUCCCUUGAACUAUAUUCUUGAUAACUGGUACCCUCUUUGCAGUUGGACUUGCCCCGCGAACAGAACUUAACUUUUCCACUACUCCUGACUUAGUAGAUCCCUUAUCUGACCCCUUAAUCCUCGCCUGCUGGUUAACCCCAUUAGCAAAUUUCUCAAAUGAAGUGGGCAGCGAAUAACAACUUGUUGGAGAGGAAGGAAUCGACCUUGAACUUGAAGAUUUCGAUUUUGCCAAAGUGUCCUUCUUCAAAUCCAAAUUCAGUGUAGGUUUUGACAAUUGAGACUUUGUCCUGCUCAGAGAAGAGGUUUUCCUAUCUGAUAAAUCAUCCUUAUUCGCAUUGCCAUUCAGUCUAACCCCCAAUGAUUUCACCUUCUCUCCUAUAUUGCUACUUCCUGAAUACCCUUUCUUAGGUGAGUUCACUUUCUCUAAAUGUUUUAAACCUGAACUUGAAUCAUUAUUAUUAUUGAGAAACCCAAGAGAGUGAGUUGCUACAAUAUCUUCUGGGCUCCCUACACAAGGGUGCCUCCCUGGGACUGGCCUAACACCUCUAAGAAUGGGGACUGGUGAGGCUGAUUCAAGCCUUUCGACAUGAAUAAAUUGACCCAGUUGGAUCUUAUCACUAAGAAUUAGAUCAUCAUGCUCAUCAGCUAAAGACACAUAAGUGGCAUGAGAUGAAUCUGAUACCUUGAGAUAAAACCCUUGGUUAGGAAAUAGCUCACCUCCUGCUAGUGCUGGUACAAUGCUCACCACCUGCAAUAAAGAUGACCUGUGCUCACCAGCAACUUUUAUAUCUGUAUUCAUGUGUUGCAGAAGUUUGAGGAGCACUCCGGGAACAAGAUUGGCCAUUUCUUAAGAGACCUUCAAUUUGCAUGAGCCUGAUAUACCCAGAUGGAGAAGUUGAGUUUGAUAUAUAAAUAGUAGAGAUAAAUGGAUGAAAUAGUAGAAAGGAAAGGUUUUGGUCAAUACCCAGAUUGAAACCAGGAAUCAAAGAUAUGGACUUCAACAGAAGAGAAGGAAAGAAAUGAUUACACUUUAGACCCAGAUGACAAUUUUUUGUAUCCAAAAAAGGGUUUAAUCUCCUAAGAUUCAAAAGAGAGAAGUAGAAAGCUCAAGAUUCAGACUGGAAGAUGCUUAAGCUUAUGAAACUAAUAAUGGUGAUUAAAUUUAAUGAAAAGCGACAAAAAAAAAAAACAGAACAAGCACCAUCUGUUUUGAAUCAAGAAAAUGCAAUAAUCAUAGAGCUUAAGAAAUUUAUAUUAAGAAAAUAAAUUAAUUUUAUAAACACAACCCAGAAAAUAAAUAAAAUGUUUUCAAUAAUAUGGUAGUAAUAAUGGUGUACAGCUUGGACAGGAACAACCAAAUACUCAACAACCCAGUCUAGUCUGGAACUGAUAAUGGUAUUAGACCUUUUAUGCAACAAACAAAAAGACAAAUGUAGAGCAAUUUCAAUGCAAAACCCAAGACUGGAAACCAAGAAAUUUUGGGAAAAAAAAUCAAUUGGGUUUUUAUUGUAGAGCCAAAAGAGAAAGCCAAUCCAAAUGAGUAAGAAAAGGAAACUUUUUUUUAUCAGACAGAGAUAAAGAAAAGAAAGGGAAAACACAAACAAGAAUUUGAGAAAAAUGCUUGCAAUAUGGUAUGAUAUUGGAGCUGAAAACUUGCAGGAAUCAGAGAAAAAGGUAAGGAAAUAAUUGAUGCCAGGCUUAUUUCGUGAUAGAUAUUACACAAUCCAUAGUGGAAGAGAGAGAAAGUUUGUCAGUCACUGACACAGACCCCUAGAUCAAACAUGCAAGAAUUUUAAUGAGUUAAAUAAAAAAGAAAGAAAAAAAAA